UAAAUUAUUUUUGAUGUUGAGGUUUUCAAAUCGACGAUCCACACUGUUAAAUAUGAUCUAGAGUAUUUGAUACUUCUAAAAUAUAAAUUUCGUAAUUUUUCGACAUUAUUAUAAAGUCCAUCAAGCGGGUAUAAAAUGAACGGUUAAAAUCGAACUACAUUCUAAAAAUGGAUGACCGGAUCCUUCAAUUUAAGAUCGGAGUUAUUGAUCUUUAUUUAGGUAGUGAAUAAAAUUUUUAUCAAAAGUUCAACCUAUUCUGAUUCUUUUUCACCGUUAAAUUAGCAAAUAUCUCAUACCAGCCGUUAAAAAUUGUCAAUUUUGUGAGCUUUUGAUCGUACGGUAAAUGAUAUCGAAAAAUUAUAAAAUUUGAUUUCUAGAAAUUUUAAAUGUUCUAGAUAAUAUUUAACGGUAUGAAUCAUUGAUUCGGAAGCUCUAUCAUUAAAAACAACUUAUGAAUACGAAGACGAUCGUACUCAUAAGAGUAUAAUAGUCGGACUCUAUAUAUAU
RNAcentral lists this long non-coding RNA (507 nucleotides) under Ananas comosus (pineapple). RNAcentral describes it as "long non-coding RNA (ACOM_LNC026541)". Lineage: Eukaryota; Viridiplantae; Streptophyta; Magnoliopsida; Poales; Bromeliaceae. The record is from RNAcentral.